Long non-coding RNA from Homo sapiens (human), 924 nucleotides. RefSeq lists it as uncharacterized. The transcript is spliced from 5 exons. NCBI's taxonomy places the organism in Eukaryota, Metazoa, Chordata, Mammalia, Primates, Hominidae. The record is from RefSeq and is marked validated.
GUUGCUGUUCCUGAUGCACAGACUCCUCCCCCGCUGCUUUUCUGCCCACUGGGUCAGGAUCUGCCAUUCUUUACAAGUUUCCUUAACGUAUUGCGUCAAAGCGAGACAACCGAGUCUUACUCAAACUUGUUUUAACCGGAGAUGGAGGGUUGCUGCUGUGUCACCGCCUGCACAGGGCUGCCCUCAGGCCAGCUUCCUGGGGCUUACUCCAAGGGCAUCGGCUUGCCCCGCACUGUGGUGGGAUGUAAAGUGAUAACAGCUAAACGACGCAUGCACAACAUGUCCUGGUGCCUUCUGCGUGACCCCAGAGCAGCAGGUUCUGCACAUGGCAGCCUGGAGUGCAAUGGCACGAUCUCAGCUCGCUGCAACCUCCGCCUCCCCGGUUCAAGCAAUUCUACUGCCUCAGCCUCCCGAGUAGCUGAGAUUACAGGCCCCUGCCACCAUGCCCAGGAGAUACUUGAGAGGGACCAUGCCCGGCUGAAGCCCCGUCUCGUGUGGAAGAAUGUCAUCUCCAGUGUCUGCUGCCUCCUCCCUGCAAAGUCUCCCACAAGCACAGGACAAGGGGUGCUUCCACCAUCUCCUAGGAGCUGAUGACAUGUCCAGACCAGGUCUCAUGCUUGGUGCCUGGUGCCAGGGAACUGUGGAACACGUCGCAGAGAGCUCAAGCGCCACGUUUGGAUCCCUGAGCAGCUGUCACAAGCCUGCACCCAGGACUGGGGGGCCUGCUGCGAGAGCCCAAAGGGAAAGGGAGAAUUUCCAAGGCUGCAUCCAGCUCCAUCAGGCCCAGUGAAUUUCCACACAGCCCGGGUCACCACGCUGUUAUGAAAUCAAAUUCCUUCUGUGACCCCUAGUAUGUACCGGUAAAUCCAGCUGGAGGGCGGGAAUUCCCUAGCUGCUGCUGUGCUUUUGACAAUUUUUCAAGAG